GAUGAAGAACGUAGCGAAAUGCGAUACGUAAUGUGAAUUGCAAAUUCAGUGAAUCAUCGAGUCUUUGAACGCACAUUGCGCCCCUUGGUAUUCCAUGGGGCAUGCCUGUUCGAGCGUCAUUUGUACCUUCAAGCUUUGCUUGGUGUUGGGUGUUUGUCCCGAGGGACUCGCCUUAAAGUAAUUGGCAGCCAGUGUUUGGUUUUGAAGCGCAGCACAAGUCGCGAUUCAAGGCUACACGCCCGCUUCCACAAGCCUUUUUUCACUUUUGACCUCGGAUCAGGUAGGGAUACCCGCUGAACUUAAGCAUAUCAAUAAGCGGAGGA
Molecule: unclassified non-coding RNA, 323 nt
Filed under: soil metagenome
Description: partial contains 5.8S ribosomal RNA, internal transcribed spacer 2, and large subunit ribosomal RNA
Rfam family: 5.8S ribosomal RNA (bases 1-119)
Source: RNAcentral